This 301-nucleotide ribosomal RNA is filed under the name uncultured bacterium. RNAcentral's name for it is "partial 16S ribosomal RNA". It matches the Rfam family "Bacterial small subunit ribosomal RNA", at positions 509 to 808 of the family's 1533-position model. The record is from RNAcentral.
CAGUAGCCACGGUAAAACGUAGGGUGCGAGCGUUAAUCGGAAUUACUGGGCGUAAAGCGGGCGCAGACGGUUACUUAAGCAGGAUGUGAAAUCCCCGGGCUCAACCUGGGAACUGCGUUCUGAACUGGGUGACUAGAGUGUGUCAGAGGGAGGUAGAAUUCCACGUGUAGCAGUGAAAUGCGUAGAGAUGUGGAGGAAUACCGAUGGCGAAGGCAGCCUCCUGGGAUAACACUGACGUUCAUGCCCGAAAGCGUGGGUAGCAAACAGGAUUAGAUACCCCUGUAGUCCCUGUCUCUAUACA